RNAcentral lists this ribosomal RNA (1233 nucleotides) under metagenome. Its description in RNAcentral is "bacterial LSU rRNA". It matches the Rfam family "Bacterial large subunit ribosomal RNA", at positions 1564 to 2808 of the family's 2925-position model. The record is from RNAcentral.
UGAAUACGAGACGCUAAGGCGUCGAAGUAGUGUAUGUCAUACUUCCAAGAAAAGCUUGCACUGUCAUAGAUAAAAACGCCUGUACCAUAACCGACACAGGUGGGUAGGUAGAGUAUACUAAGGGGCGCGAGAUAACUCUCUCUAAGGAACUCGGCAAAAUAACUCCGUAACUUCGGGAGAAGGAGUGCCUUAUUCUUAAGGUUGCAAUAACAAGAUCCAAGCAACUGUUUAUCAAAAACACAGGUCUCCGCUAAGUCGUAAGACGAUGUAUGGGGGCUGACGCCUGCCCAGUGCCAGAAGGUUAAAGAAGCUGGUUAGCAAUUGCGAAGCUGGUGACUGAAGCCCUGGUGAACGGCGGCCGUAACUAUAACGGUCCUAAGGUAGCGAAAUUCCUUGUCGGGUAAGUUCCGACCCGCACGAAAGGCGUAAUGAUUUGGAUACUGUCUCGGAGAGGGGCUCGGUGAAAUAGACUUGUCUGUGAAGAUGCGGACUACCUGCACCAGGACAGAAAGACCCUAUGAAGCUUUACUGUAACUUGAAAUUGAAAUUGGACUUUAUUCGCGCAGCAUAGGUGGGAGGCGUUGAUUAUAAUCUUGCGGGAUUAUUGGAGCUAUUAGUGAGAUACCACUCUUGUAAUGUUAGAUUUCUAACUUUGAAUCAUUAUCUGGUCAAAGGACAGUUUCAGGCGGGCAGUUUGACUGGGGCGGUCGCCUCCCAAACGGUAACGGAGGCGUACAAAGGUUUCCUCUGAACGGUUAGAAAUCGUAUCUAGAGUGUAAAGGCAUAAGGAAGCUUGACUGUGAGACCUACAAGUCGAGCAGGGACGAAAGUCGGUCUUAGUGAUCUGACGGUACUGAGUGGAAAGGCCGUCACUCAACGGAUAAAAGUUACUCUAGGAUAACAGGCUGAUCUCCCCCAAGAGUUCACAUCGACGGGGAGGUUUGGCACCUCGAUGUCGGCUCAUCGCAUCCUGGGGCGGUAGUACGUCCCAAGGGUUGGGCUGUUCGCCCAUGAAAGCGGUACGCGAGCUGGGUUCAGAACGUCGUGAGACAGUUCGGUCCAUAUCCGGUGUAGGCGUUAGAAUAUUGAGAGGAGCCUUCUUUAGUACGAGAGGACCGAGAAGGACAUACCUCUGGUGUACCAGUUAUCGUGCCAACGGUAAACGCUGGGUAGCUAUGUAUGGAGUGGAUAACCGCUGAAAGCAUCUAAGUGGGAAGCCCACCUCAAGAUAAG